Molecule: ribosomal RNA, 147 nt
Filed under: uncultivated soil bacterium
Lineage: Bacteria
Description: partial 16S ribosomal RNA
Rfam family: Bacterial small subunit ribosomal RNA
Source: RNAcentral
UGGGGAAUAUUGGACAAUGGGCGAAAGCCUGAUCCAGCCAUGCCGCGUGUGUGAAGAAGGUCUUCGGAUUGUAAAGCACUUUAAGUUGGGAGGAAGGGCAGUUACCUAAUACGUGAUUGUUUUGACGUUACCGACAGAAUAAGCACC